CCUACGGGAGGCUGCAGUGGGGAAUAUUGCACAAUGGGGGAAACCCUGAUGCAGCGACGCCGCGUGAGUGAAGAAGUAUUUCGGUAUGUAAAGCUCUAUCAGCAGGGAAGAAAUAAAGUCCUUCGGACUUUGGACGGUACCUGACUAAGAAGCCCCGGCUAACUACGUGCCAGCAGCCGCGGUAAUACGUAGGGGGCAAGCGUUAUCCGGAUUUACUGGGUGUAAAGGGAGCGUAGACGGCAGCGCAAGUCUGGAGUGAAAUCCCAUGGCUUAACCAUUGAACUGCUUUGGAAACUGUGCAGCUGGAGUGCAGGAGAGGUAAGCGGAAUUCCAAGUGUAGCGGUGAAAUGCGUAGAUAUGAGGAGGAACACCAGUGGCGAAGGCGGCUUACUGGACUGUAACUGACGUUGAGGCUCGAAAGCGUGGGGAGCAAACAGGAUUAGAUACCCGGGUAGUC
Molecule: ribosomal RNA, 457 nt
Filed under: uncultured bacterium
Lineage: Bacteria
Description: partial 16S ribosomal RNA
Rfam family: Bacterial small subunit ribosomal RNA
Source: RNAcentral